UGCCUUAAGAGUUUGUUUUGAGGUUUACUCUGCCCAGUGACUUUUAGUUCAACGGCCGCAGUACCCUGACUGUGCUAAGGUAGCAUAAUCAAUUGGCUCUUAAUUAGGGUCUAGUAUGAAAGAGAUAAAGAGUGCGAUACUGUCUUAAGUACGUUAAUUUAAAGUUAUUUAAAGGGUGAAAAUCCCCUUAAUGGAAAUAGGACGAGAAGACCCUAAGAAUUUUGAACAAUUUAAAUUACUAUUUAAGAUUUUUUGUUGGGGUGACAGGAUUAACUUAAACUAAUCUUUUUUUACAAGUCUUAGAAUUAGCAAGACGAAAUUACCUUAGGGAUAACAGCAUAAUUCUUUUUUGAGAUUAUGACCUCGAUGUUGGACUAGGGACUAGAUGGUUAGCAACUAGUAUAGCAAGUUCUGUUCGAACUUAUUACCCU
RNAcentral lists this ribosomal RNA (431 nucleotides) under Gulella usambarica. RNAcentral describes it as "partial 16S ribosomal RNA". It matches the Rfam family "Bacterial large subunit ribosomal RNA", at positions 1829 to 2597 of the family's 2925-position model. The record is from RNAcentral. Lineage: Eukaryota; Metazoa; Mollusca; Gastropoda; Stylommatophora; Streptaxidae.